GACGAACGCUGGCGGCGUGCCUAAUACAUGCAAGUUGAGCGCUGAAGGUUGGUACUUGUACCAACUGGAUGAGCAGCGAACGGGUGAGUAACGCGUGGGGAAUCUGCCUUUGAGCGGGGGACAAUAUUUGGAAACGAAUGCUAAUACCGCAUAAAAACUUUAAACACAAGUUUUAAGUUUGAAAGAUGCAAUUGCAUCACUCAAAGAUGAUCCCGCGUUGUAUUAGCUAGUUGGUGAGGUAAAGGCUCACCAAGGCGAUGAUACAUAGCCGACCUGAGAGGGUGAUCGGCAACAUGGGGACUGAGACACGGCCAAACUCCUACGGGAGGCAGCAGUAGGGAAUCUUCGGCAAUGGACGAAAGUCUGACCGAGCAACGCCGCGUGAGUGAAGAAGGUUUUCGGAUCGUAAAACUCUGUUGGUAGAGAAGAACGUUGGUGAGAGUGGAAAGCUCAUCAAGUGACGGUAACUACCCAGAAAGGGACGGCUAACUACGUG
This 496-nucleotide ribosomal RNA is filed under the name uncultured bacterium. RNAcentral's name for it is "partial 16S ribosomal RNA". It matches the Rfam family "Bacterial small subunit ribosomal RNA", at positions 28 to 507 of the family's 1533-position model. The record is from RNAcentral.